CAGAGGUAAAAGGGUGCUGCUUCUGUGAUUACAUUGCACAAGAUUUUAACUUCCAUCUUGCGAGAAAACUCUCUAUUGACUUCUUCCCCAGUUGUCUUUGAUAACGUAAGUCACCGUAUCGCAAGGCCCUUUGGCAAGGAAGUGAGAGCGGCCUCCUCAUAAUAGUCAGCAAGAAACUAAGGCCCUCAGCUCAACAGCCUGCAAGGAAGCAAGCCCAGCCCACAACCCUGUGAGCUUCAAAGUGGAUUCUUCUUCAGUCAGGCUUCCAGAUGACAGCCUAGCCCUUGAUCGCAGUCUGUGACAGACACUGAAGCAAAGCAUCCAACUAAACUGUGUCUGGAUUCUUGUCCCACUGGAGUUAAAAUAAUAAAUUUGCAUUAUUUAAA
This is a long non-coding RNA of Homo sapiens (human), 386 nucleotides long. Ensembl annotates it as cancer susceptibility 9. Its record names the gene CASC9. NCBI's taxonomy places the organism in Eukaryota, Metazoa, Chordata, Mammalia, Primates, Hominidae. The record is from Ensembl.